Cyanistes caeruleus (blue tit) is the source of this 860-nucleotide non-coding RNA. NCBI's taxonomy places the organism in Eukaryota, Metazoa, Chordata, Aves, Passeriformes, Paridae. The record is from RefSeq and is a predicted model, not a curated record.
GCUGGGUUGACAGCGGCGGCGGGACCGGCCGAGCCUUCCCGGGGAUGUGUCCGCUGGUUUGGGGACGGUGAUCCCCGCUCGGGGACGCUGCUCCGUUAUUCUGCAUCUCCCGGGCGCGGGGCAGCGCGGCGGGGUCACCGGUGGGACCCUGGGGACCAUCUCGUCCCUUUGGGGACCACUGCGGGCAUCAGAGGGGCCCUGCAGCGCCCUGCUCUAAGUCCUUUUGUUGUCGGUGUUCUGUCAUUCUUUAAAUCACGGCGAGCAUUUUCCCCAGUGAAAUGUCGAUUUCAGUGCUGGCUUUGCGGGAAUCGCCUGUUCAGAAGUGCUGACAGAUGGAUCAGCAGAGCACCGGGGCCAGCUGUGGAUACACCUCUGUACACACCUUCCCUGUCAUCUCCCACGCCUUCCUGGACUCCAUGAUCUGAAAGGUCUUUUCCGAUCCAAAUGAUUCCGCGAUUCUCUGCCGUUACCGAUGCAGUAGAAUCCAGGCCCAGGCCAGCAGAGCAUCCAUGGGGGCAGUGGAGGGACACAGACAAUCCACGCUGGUCACACACGGUUUUCCUGCCAGCUGGUUGGUUUCAGUUGGUGUUAAUAGGUUUAGCUGCUGCCCUUUUGUUCAGAAUAAUUCAGAGCUUCCUUGUUAUCGAGGCCGUGGCUGGAAUAGCCCGUGUUUGCCCAUCUGGAAGCAGCAGAGACAAAAGCUGGUGUGACUGAAACUGCCGACGUCACAGGGCUGUGAGACCUAACGUAGGUACAAAAACCCAAAUCUCUGCACAAUCCAGGGCAAAAAAAAAAAAACCAAAACAACCCAACAAAAUGGAAAUCAGAGGGAUUAAAACAAACUUGCUUGCUAAUGGAAA